AACUGAUGUGGCGCAUUGGUAGUGCGACUGCCUGCGACGCAGAAGGUUCCGGGUUCGACUCCCGGUGGGUUA
Non-coding RNA from Phthorimaea operculella (potato tuberworm), 72 nucleotides. The record is from the annotation of a GenBank genome assembly. NCBI's taxonomy places the organism in Eukaryota, Metazoa, Arthropoda, Insecta, Lepidoptera, Gelechiidae.